AAGCGAAUAGUGAAAUGUGGCGGCUCAACCGUACACACUAUUAUUCGAACUGCAUAACUCGAGAAUGGUAGAGGUAACUGGAAUUUCUUGUGUAGGAGUGAAAUCCGUAGAUAUAAGAAGGAACACCAAUGGCGUAGGCAGGUUACUGGACCAUUUCUGACACUAAGGCACGAAAGCGUGGGGAGCGAACCGGAUUAGAUACCCGGGUAGUCCACGCCGUAAACUAUGGAUACUA
This 235-nucleotide ribosomal RNA is filed under the name uncultured Candidatus Saccharibacteria bacterium. RNAcentral's name for it is "partial 16S ribosomal RNA". It matches the Rfam family "Bacterial small subunit ribosomal RNA", at positions 585 to 818 of the family's 1533-position model. The record is from RNAcentral. Lineage: Bacteria; Candidatus Saccharimonadota.